UAGGGAAUCUUCCACAAUGGACGAAAGUCUGAUGGAGCAACGCCGCGUGAGUGAAGAAGGUUUUCGGAUCGUAAAGCUCUGUUGUUGGUGAAGAAGGAUAGAGGCAGUAACUGGUCUUUAUUUGACGGUAAUCAACCAGAAAGUCACGGCUAACUCCGUGUCAG
RNAcentral lists this ribosomal RNA (164 nucleotides) under uncultured bacterium. RNAcentral's name for it is "partial 16S rRNA". It matches the Rfam family "Bacterial small subunit ribosomal RNA", at positions 355 to 511 of the family's 1533-position model. The record is from RNAcentral.